GUCCAGAAGAAGGAUUUGCUAAUGCUUGGCUCCCACCUGUGCUCUGCAGUGAGACGUGGCAAAGCCCAAUCCUCAACCCUCCUUCCUGAGAUCAGAGAAACAGGAUUUUAUUGAAAACUCCUGGAGAGCAUCCUUCUGUCACUUUCAUUUCAAGUUCCAUCAUACUUCAACUUUUGGAAGGUCUUAUCCCUCUGCCCAGAGGCAACCAGCCUGAGAUGGUAUCCUCAGGAUUAUCUCUGCACGAAAACAGCAGAAGGAUCCUAAUGGCACAUUCAGUGUGGUUUCAUUUAAAGAAUUUCUGCAUGUCCUUAUUUUUGGUCAGUGUGCACUUUUCUUCUGUGUGGGUAAUGCUGGAUAAGAAUUGUUUCAUUUGCACCAUUUGCAAAACUCAUCAGGCCCAGAAGGGGCAAAUUUUAUCGCAGAAGUUUGAUAAGUGCAAGGCACCCAAGGCCCACUCUAGCAGAAUGACAUGGAAGCACAUGUGUUGUCUGGUGAAGAGCAGCCCCACUCCACAAAACUCACAGAUGUUUUUGAGAUGCAGCAGCACUGCCUUGUUUUGCAGCACAGACCUACAAAAGCACCUCUUUAUUCAUUUAAAAUGCCAUGGUAUGGAGAGUGGCUGA
Molecule: long non-coding RNA, 623 nt
Filed under: Zonotrichia albicollis (white-throated sparrow)
Lineage: Eukaryota; Metazoa; Chordata; Aves; Passeriformes; Passerellidae
Description: lncRNA (ENSZALG00000018159.1)
Source: RNAcentral